RNAcentral lists this ribosomal RNA (487 nucleotides) under uncultured bacterium. RNAcentral's name for it is "partial 16S ribosomal RNA". It matches the Rfam family "Bacterial small subunit ribosomal RNA", at positions 28 to 507 of the family's 1533-position model. The record is from RNAcentral.
GAUGAACGCUAGCGAUAGGCUUAACACAUGCAAGUCGAGGGGCAGCACAAGGUAGCUUGCUAUCUGGGUGGCGACCGGCGCACGGGUGCGUAACGCGUAUGCAACUUGCCCUAUACAGGAGGAUAACCCGUCGAAAGACGGACUAAUACUGCGUAUGCUCACAACUUGGCAUCAAGUGGUGAGGAAAGAAAUUCGGUAUAGGAUAGGCAUGCGUCCCAUUAGCUUGUUGGUGAGGUAACGGCUCACCAAGGCAACGAUGGGUAGGGGAACUGAGAGGUUUAUCCCCCACACUGGUACUGAGACACGGACCAGACUCCUACGGGAGGCAGCAGUGAGGAAUAUUGGUCAAUGGGCGCGAGCCUGAACCAGCCAAGUCGCGUGAAGGAUGACUGUCUUAUGGAUUGUAAACUUCUUUUAGACGGGAAUAACAAGAGUCACGUGUGACUCCCUGCAUGUACCGGAUGAAUAAGCAUCGGCUAACUCCGUG